GUUAUUGUUUUUGAGUACUUCGGAACUAAUUUGCAAUACGUGUUGAGGUGUUACUGAAUAAUAUCAACAUGGCUUACACAUCCCUGAAUCAAAUUUCAGUUGAGAAAGAAACGUGGAUUGUGAAAGUUAGAAUCAUUCGGAUGUGGGACGCAAUUAACAUAGCAAAUGACCAUGAGCUAAUCAGUCUUGAUAUGAUAAUGGCAGACGAAAAUGGGACACUAAUACAUGCAAGUAUUAGAAAGAAUUUUGCUCAGCGUUUCAGACCUCUCUUCAAUGAAGGAUCUGUCUACGCAAUCAAGAAUUUCAUAGUUGAGGAACAUAGAGCGAAGUUUCGUCCGGUACAUAACGAAGUUAAAAUUAUUUUCAU
Long non-coding RNA from Alnus glutinosa, 367 nucleotides. RefSeq lists it as uncharacterized. The transcript has 3 exons. NCBI's taxonomy places the organism in Eukaryota, Viridiplantae, Streptophyta, Magnoliopsida, Fagales, Betulaceae. The record is from RefSeq and is a predicted model, not a curated record.